Molecule: ribosomal RNA, 439 nt
Filed under: uncultured bacterium
Lineage: Bacteria
Description: partial 16S ribosomal RNA
Rfam family: Bacterial small subunit ribosomal RNA
Source: RNAcentral
CCUACGGGUGGCAGCAGUGGGGAAUAUUGCACAAUGGGGGAAACCCUGAUGCAGCGACGCCGCGUGAGUGAAGAAGUAUCUCGGUAUGUAAAGCUCUAUUAGCAGGGAAGAAAAUGACGGUACCUGACUAAGAAGCCCCGGCUAACUACGUGCCAGCAGCCGCGGUAAUACGUAGGGGGCAAGCGUUACCCGGAUUUACGGGGUGUAAAGGGAGCGUAGACGGCAGCACAAGUCUGGAGGGAAAUCCCGGGGCUAAACCCCGGAACUGGUUUGGAGAUGGUGGGGCUGAGUGCAGGAGGGGUAAGCGGAAUUCCUGGUGUAGCGGUGAAAUGCGUAGAUAUUAGGAGGAACACCGGUGGCGAAGGCGGCUUACUGGACUGUAACUGACGUUGAGGCUCGAAAGCGUGGGGAGCAAACAGGAUUAGAUACCCCAGUAGUC